UACGGAGGGUGCAAGCGUUAAUCGGAAUUACUGGGCGUAAAGGGUGCGUAGGCGGUUGUUUAAGUCUGUUGUGAAAUCCCCGGGCUCAACCUGGGAAUGGCAAUGGAUACUGGGCAGCUAGAGUGUGUCAGAGGAUGGUGGAAUUCCCGGUGUAGCGGUGAAAUGCGUAGAGAUCGGGAGGAACAUCAGUGGCGAAGGCGGCCAUCUGGGACAACACUGACGCUGAAGCACGAAAGCGUGGGGAGCAAGCAGG
RNAcentral lists this ribosomal RNA (253 nucleotides) under uncultured bacterium. RNAcentral describes it as "partial 16S ribosomal RNA". It matches the Rfam family "Bacterial small subunit ribosomal RNA", at positions 524 to 776 of the family's 1533-position model. The record is from RNAcentral.